This 493-nucleotide small RNA is filed under the name Colletotrichum truncatum. Its description in RNAcentral is "eukaryotic LSU rRNA". The stretch from base 122 to 275 matches the Rfam family "5.8S ribosomal RNA". The record is from RNAcentral. Lineage: Eukaryota; Fungi; Ascomycota; Sordariomycetes; Glomerellales; Glomerellaceae.
AGGCGUCCCCUAAAAAGGACGUCUCCCGGCCCUCUCCCGUCCGCGGGUGGGGCGCCCGCCGGAGGAUAACCAAACUCUGAUUUAACGACGUUUCUUCUGAGUGACACAAGCAAAUAAUCAAAACUUUUAACAACGGAUCUCUUGGUUCUGGCAUCGAUGAAGAACGCAGCGAAAUGCGAUAAGUAAUGUGAAUUGCAGAAUUCAGUGAAUCAUCGAAUCUUUGAACGCACAUUGCGCCCGCCAGCAUUCUGGCGGGCAUGCCUGUUCAAAGGUCCUUUCCACCCUGUAGCUCUGCCUUUGGUUGGUUUACUCCGAAGUUACGAUAACACCAAGAGUUUGUAUCCUCUGGCGGGCAACCCCCUUUUACCGGGCGCGGUCUGAUCCGCCGAGGCAUCAUGGGGGGCCCUUCACCGGGAAAUGCCAGUUUUAAGCUCGGUGAUGAUCCCGCCCGAGGGCGGGAAACUCAGGAAAAGAUUCAUCCGAACGUAACACC